GUAAGGAAUAUUGCCCAAUGGACGAAAGUCUGAGGCAGCGACGCCGCGUGGAUGAUGAAGGCCUUCGGGUUGUAAAAUCCUUUUCUGGGGGAAGAGAAAGGACGGUACCCCAGGAAUAAGCCCUGGCUAACUACGUGCCAGCAGCCGCGGUAAAACGUAGAGGGCAAGCGUUAUCCGGAUUUACUGGGCGUAAAGAGCGUGGAGGCGGUUCUGUAAGUUGGGCGUGAAAGCUCCGAGCUCAACUCGGAGAGGUCGUUCAAUACUGCAGAACUUGAGGGCAGCAGAGGGAGGUGGAAUUCCCGGUGGAGCGGUGAAAUGCGUAGAUAUCGGGAGGAACACCAGUGGCGAAGGCGGCCUCCUGGGCUGCUUCUGACGCUGAAGGCGAAAGCUAGGGGAGCAAACGGGAUUAGAAACCCCGGUAGUCCUAGCCGUAAACGAUGGAUGCUAGAUGUGGGGGGUAUAGAUUCCCUCCGUGUCGUAGUUAACGCGUUAAGCAUCCCGCCUGGGGAGUACGGCCGCAAGGCUA
RNAcentral lists this ribosomal RNA (526 nucleotides) under uncultured bacterium. RNAcentral describes it as "bacterial SSU rRNA". It matches the Rfam family "Bacterial small subunit ribosomal RNA", at positions 354 to 896 of the family's 1533-position model. The record is from RNAcentral.